This 15770-nucleotide long non-coding RNA is filed under the name Triticum aestivum (bread wheat). Its description in RNAcentral is "long non-coding RNA (TAES_LNC015578)". Lineage: Eukaryota; Viridiplantae; Streptophyta; Magnoliopsida; Poales; Poaceae. The record is from RNAcentral.
GUUGCAAGCCACUAUUAGUAAUUUGGUAUAGAACUUCACAUCAUUUUCUUUUGUUUUACUCAGUCUGAUUAUUUACCGAAGAUUUCUCUGAAAAUGCUCUCUAUGGAGAAGAAGAAGACACAACAGGUUCCUAGGAAUGCUCAUCGAAUUUCAGAUCAAAACAACUCCCGUAAGGUAUGAUAUGCAGUAUACUGAGUUUUGUAAAAUCCAUCGUCUUCGCUUGGAUGCCAAUGUUUUUGAAUCCAUCAAGUGCUGAGAUUAUGUGUUUUAUUGCUUUAAAUUACCCUCCACCAUCUCCAGCAUAAUGCAUAAGAAUUUUGCAUUUAGCUUGUGUCAUGUGUACGUAGUUAUUGAACCCGGAGCGAGACGGUAAGUGCCUUGGUUCAACCUGUUGGUUCAAUAAAAUAUUAUUGCAGGUUUUCCCCCUAGAUAAUAGUGAGGUUUAGCCGUAUUAUACUGGAUCCCAUAAAAAAUUCACGGCGUGGCAAUCUGUUGGAGCUAUUUUUCUAAUCCAACUUCCUCGAUAUUAAUUUGUCCGCCACUUGCCCAGCAAGGCCAAUCUUCUCCUCCUUGUGUUUAUUAGUACUUAGUUUUAGUUCUACUAAGUCUAAAACCUUUAAAUUCCAAUGUUUGCCGCCAUAGCUCUAACUUUAUAUUAGCCCUAUUCAGUAUCGCCGGGUAGCCACAUCAUCUACAAUGAGCAUACAUCAUGGGAUAUCUCCUUGUAUAUCACUAUUGACUUCAUACAUCACCGAAGCAAACAAAAAGUUGUUCAAAGCCGAGUAUUGGUGCAGUCCUAUUUUAAUUGAAAAGUUAUCAGGUUCGCCAUCACUUUUUCGAACAUUUGUCACAAUAGCAUCAUACACGUCCUUGAUGUGGGCAAUGUAGAUUGGACUUUGUGUUUCUCCAAAGCCCACCCCAUGACAUUCAACAAUAUCUUAUCAUGGGCCUUCUCCAAGUCAAUGGAUACCAUAUACAAGUCCUUUUUUUGCUCCCAUAUACAAGUCCUUUUUUGCUCCAUAUAUCUUUUAGUACCAAGAAAAAAACUCCAUGGUCAACCUCCUGGCAUUAAACUAAUCUGAUUUUUGGUCAUGCUUGUCAUUCUUAAGUGGUACUCAAUGAAUCCCUCCCAUAACUUCAUUGUAUGGCUCAUGAGCUUAAUUCCAUAAUAAUUAGUACAACUUUGAAUACCCUCUUAUUCUUGAAGAUUUGUACUAAUAUAGUCCAUAUUAGUACAGUUAUAGCUUAGUAAAGAGUACAAAUACAAAUACAAGGUUUGAACACAAAUAGUACAAUAUGUCUAGUUGUACAUAAAUGCACAAAUACAUGGUUUUGACAAGUAGUAUGCCACACUUGUCAAUUUUCAUACAUUGUUUGCCUAUCUUCUGGAUUGUUGUGCCACUCAUUCAAAUGGUAUCUCACAGCAUGAAAUGGUCGCAAGAAAUCUGGUUUGAAUCAAAUAGGUAAAAAAAUCCUAAAAAAGAGAAGAAAAAAAUGUGGCUGUCAUGGAUGCAACUUGAUUGUAUUGCCAGGCCCAUGGGGCAAAUAUAUAGUACAAAAGAUUUGAGAUGAAAGAAAGGAAAUACAGCCUAAUAUGGACUUCUAGACCAAUACUAAUACUUCUUAACCCUACCCAACACCCCACCCCCACCCCUCAAAAGCAAAGCAUAUGGAAUAACAUUUCAUUUGAGGAAGUGUGACACUAGGAAAAACGAUAAACCAAAAUCCAUGUCUUCAGAGUGUUGUUAUAGCAUGAAGUGUAUUCAAAAUCUGUCGAGUCAAGCCAAUGGGGAUAACGAAGAAGAUGCCGCAUUAGAGCAAGGCACCGCAUUAAUAGAAGAAACAAGAUAUGUAUCAAGAGAAGAUGGGUUGUCAAAAAAGAUGGCACAAGACGAGCAUGAAGCAUUGCACACAAAAUCAUAGCCAAGAAAACAGGGGGCGAAAGAAGCUCGGCGGCAAGAGAAUAUGCGUAGAUCUACAAUGCAAAAAGAGGCCACAAAAAUCAUAUAAAAAGGCUAAGGACCAGAAAAAGAUUGACGGAUAAAGAUAUGGUGGACUCACAUGACAUGAGAAAUAUGAAAAAGAGCAACAUACUUGAUGGACAUAUUGGAAAAUAUAGAAAACUAGAAAGCAUAUGAAGCACACACGAGACAAAAAUGUGAGUGCUAUCGUGUAUGCUAGAGAAGUUACGGAGAAGACUCUGCAUGUUACAUGCUGAUGAGGACCAUCAAAAAAGAGCAACUACCAGAAGAGCACGCAACACCGCAAGAUUUUUUUUGAAAUGUUCNNNNNNNNNNNNNNNNNNNNNNNNNNNNNNNNNNNNNNNNNNNNNNNNNNNNNNNNNNNNNNNNNNNNNNNNNNNNNNNNNNNNNNNNNNNNNNNNNNNNNNNNNNNNNNNNNNNNNNNNNNNNNNNNNNNNNNNNNNNNNNNNNNNNNNNNNNNNNNNNNNNNNNNNNNNNNNNNNNNNNUGAAUAUAUAUUUCAAAACCUGCCAGGUGUUACAGAGUUAGGAGUGUUGCGAGGAUAGGAACUCACGCCACAGACCGGCGUGGCCCUUUAGAGUUUCAGAUUUUAGUCUAUGAGACCAAACAAUCAAAUCAUCCAAGAUGGCUCUCAAGGAGUUUGAAGCCACAACAUCUAGUCCUUGGAAAACUUUCUCGUUGCACGCGUCCCAGAUUUUCCAAAGAAUCAGAAGGAGCAUGAAGGGGCGGACCGUGGUAAGCAGCACAUCCGGAAGCGUCAUACUGAAGAGACUGGUGAUAGGGGUGUAAAGAGGGCAGAUGCCGGCUGCUCUCCAGAUCCUGCGAGCUGUUGGACAAGUGAAAAAAAGGUGUUGUCGAUCCUCAACCGAGUGAGUACAUCUAGGACAAGCUGAAGAGUCCAGAAUGCUCUUCUUAUGCAGAUUCUUCCUUGUGUUUAGGCGAUCAAGGUAGAAUAGCCAACCGAAGAUCAUAACCUUCUUGGGAACCUUUGAGUCCCAAAUAUCAUUAAGCAUGGGUUUCGAGAGGUGAUCCGAGAGGGCCGCAUAUGCGCCCUUUGUGGAAAAGGCAGCGCCGUUAAGCAGGCGACGAUCGUCCGGUACCUAAGAGAGAGCACAGUUCUGCAACAAGGAAUUAAGAGAAGCAAGUUCUGCAAUCACAGUAGAGGUUAGUCGAUUACGAAGAGCAAGUUCGAUCCCAUCCUGCAAAAUAGUGACUACCAGGCCGUUUUGGUUUGUGUGGUGAGAAAAAAGAGCUGGGUACACUAAAGCCAGGGGUUCCGGCUUUAGCCAAUGAUCUAACCAAAAAAAAGUAGAGCAACCAUCAACAACAGUACACUGGGAAAUCUCUCUCAAACUCUGUAGAUGCUUAAAAAUGGUUUUAGCUAGGAAAGAGCUAUUUUUGCCAUGUCCAAUGUGAAGAGGCGAAUGGUGUAAGACCCAAUCCUUCCAGGGAAGGUUUGAGGAGUGUAAAAAUUUAUAAGCAAAUUUCAGCAGUAGACAAAAGUUUUGUGCGCGAAGGUUUUUUACACCUAGACCACCAGCUUCUCUAGGGGUACAAACUUUAUCCCAAGAAACCAGGCAUUUUGCCCCAGAGCAAGUGUCGUCGUUAGACUAGAAAAAGGUACGUCGUCUCUUGUCGAUAGCUUCAAUAACCUGGACAGGAAGAGUGAAACAGAGCAUAAAAUAGGUAGGGAGGCUGUCUAGAACGGCGGAGAGGAGAACAAGCUUGCCACCACGAGAGAGAAGUAGCGCGCACCACCCAGCAAGGUAGAUAUCACACCGAUCAAUGACUGGUUGGAAGGCUGAGGGGGGAAGUUUGUAGGGAGAGAGAGGAAGGCCGAGAUAAGUUUGCGGAAAGGAGGAGAUGUUAGUGGCAAGGUCGGCUGCCAUAAGGGCUGUGCCGGUGGGAUCAACAUUAAGGGGGAUAAAGGUGGUCUUGUCAAAAUUAAUCUGGAGACCAGUGGCCACAGCGAAGCUAUCUAGAAUACUCUUGAGGUGUUUUGCUGCCCCGGGCGUAGCUUUAACUAUGAUAAGCGUGUCAUCGGCGUAUUGAAGGACGGGACAGGGAAGGCGAGGGCUUAGGGGGUGCAACAACUUACCUUCACGGUUGGCUUUGAUGAUCAUUUGUUGGAGGAUAUCGGCGACAAUAAUGAAAAGGCAAGGGGAGAGAGGGUCGCCCUGCCGGAGGCCAUUUUUGCAUUGAAUCCACCUCCCCGGGAUGCCAUUUAGCAUAACGGCAGUGGAACCAGUGUUAAGGAGAGAGUUAAUCCAGUCGCACCACCGAGGGGGGAAACCUCUAACCUGAAGGGUAUGGAGGAGGGUCGUCCAGCAAACAGAGUCAAAGGCUUUCCGAAAGUCUAGUUUGAUGAUGAGGGAGGGGGCUUUCCUUUUAGCGCAAGGAUAUCUGCAGCGUAGAGGAAGUUCUCAGAGAUGUUACGACCAUACAGGAAACCAGUUUGGUCAGCAUGCACCAAGAGGGGGAUAAGGGGUUUUAACCUGUUGGUUAGAAGUUUUGCGACUCCUUUGAUAGGACAGUUUUGAAGAGAGAUGGGGCGGAAGUCAGCGGGGGAGCGAGCAUCAGAAUGCUUUGGAAGGAGGAUUAUGAGGGCCCGGUUAAGGCAAGAGAUAUCGCUGAUUUGGGCGUGAAAGUCUGAAAGGAAAUGAGUUAUCUUCCCUUUGAGGAUGCGCCAAAAUUUGCGGUAGAACCCAGGGCCGAAGCCGUCCGGUCCAGGACUAGCAUUCUUGUUCAUGGAGAGGAAGGCAUUGGUGAUUUCAGUGUCUGUGAAGGGUGCAUCCAGAGAGCAGAGUUGUGGAACGGGUUCUGGGUAUAAGUCCGUGAGAGCGAAGGACCAGGUUGGCUGAAAGGCCGUGCCGAGAAGGGAGGCGUAGAAGUCAAAAAGAAUGUUGGAUUGAGCAUCGUGGGAGAAGAAUUCUGAGCCAUUUGAGACAAGAGUAUUAAUUUUAUUUUUCCGGAGACGGGCAGAGGCAGACGCGUGAAAGAAGCGAGAGUUUUCAUCUCCUUCUAAAGUGGUGCGAAUUUUACCACGCUGGAUCCAAUAGAGGGCUUUCUCACGAAGCGUGCGUUGGAGGACUUUAAUAAUGACACGACGGAGAGCCAGUUCAGGAGACUAGAGGAAACGAGAUUCUUCGAUGAGGUCAAGAACGGAAAUGACAGUCUUGCAGUUCCUCUCCCGAGUGUUUAGAGGCAGAGCGGAGCGCCGCCAAAUUUUUAAGUCAGCGCGAGUACGUUUGAGAGCAGCCACUAGGGAAAGCGAGUGGUUUGAACAGGAGCGGGCCGCGGUCCAAGCGUUUUGGACUACCAUAAGACAGGUCGGCCUAGUGGUCCAUCUAAGCUCGAAACGGAAAAGCGCGGGCGAGGGAUGACGGUAUCUAUAGUGAUCAGCAGGGGAACAUGGUCAGAGACGAAUCUAGUGAGCGAGGAAAUGGUGGUGUUUGGGAAGAGGAGAUCCCAGUCCACAUUGAUGAAAACUCUGUCAAUUUUUUCGAGAGUGGGUUGAUCUCUUUUGCUAGACCAAGUGUAGCAUCUAUCUGGAAGGGGAAGCUCAAUCAGCGCCCUCUGGUUAAUAAAGGAAUUGAACAUGUCUGCUUCGGACUGCCUGAAAUUACUCGUGUUUUUGUCCGAGGGAAGUCUUAGGAGAUUGAAAUCACCCAAGAUUAGCCAAGGUGUGGGAGGAGAGGGGGCAAAGGUAGCGAGCUCUGACAGGAAUUCCUGCUUGAGCGCGUGGUCGGUAGGAGCAUAAACAUUGGUAAUGGCAAGCGAGUGAGGGGAGGCUAGACAGGAGACGAGGGUUGUUUGGGUGUAGAGUCCAGAGUCCAUGGCAAUAAGAGAAAAAUGAGCCGAGGAGAAGGCCGAAAGCAUACCACCUGCAGACCCAAGGGCCGGACGAGGGUGGGUUAGAUUCAGGUGCUUAGGGAGGAAGGAACACUGCUUAAGAAUAGAGAUGGAGUCUAGCUUGGUCUCUUGCAAAAAGCAAGCAUGUGGAUUAAUGGCCAGGAGUUCAGAGAGAAUAUCCGAACACUUUUGCAUUUGCCCAAGGCCACGAACAUUCCAACAGCAGAAACUGAAUUUGUGAUUAACCAUAGCGAAGAGGAAGGCACCUAGAAGCAAAGGCAAGUUCACUAGAGGGACAAAGCAGACAGUCCUGGGAGCACACACGUGUUACAAAACACGUUACAAAAGGGUCGAAGACCAACUCGCCGGAACAGCACGGCGACCACGGGCUUAAGCUAAGGAACGGGAAACUAGGAAUUAAACCAUUGCCAGAUGGGCAGGUACAUCCAUAACAAGUAAGGACAGAGCGGCCAUGGCGAGGAGCCGUCGUCCAAGGCAGGAGAUUGUUGAUCACGGCGCCGGCGAGGACACCUCCUGAACCUCCACCGGUUCAGCGCCACAGAGCUUGGCAAUGAGAGCAAGGGCAUCGGAGUCCAGCACCGGAUCCUCUGGGGAGCUGGUGAGUCCAGAGGAAUCCAGGGCUUCGACGAGGUCGUGAGAGGCGUGCUGCAGGUCGAAGCGACGGGCCUUGACACGCAUGGCCUUCGUGGUCAUGUCCACGAACUGACCAUCCCCUUUGUCAGUGAGGCGACGACUGCGGCGGAGCUUGACAGCGUCGGUGGCCCUCUUAUUAGCAGCCAUUUUACGACACAUCGUGGCCUCAUGCGCUUCAGACCCAAGCGAGGUAGAAUCCUUGACUGAACAGGAGGGAGCAGCAAAACUUAGGGGCAGAUCGAGAGAAAGAGAGAUGGAAAGUUGGGAGUCCGGAUAUUUACCCGAGAGAAGUGAGGUAUCACCACCAUCUAAGUCGAGCGCGGAGAAAGAGUUGGGGACAUCGACCGAUGGCGUGAAGGUGCCGGAGAGGUCAGAGCCUUGGGCGGCGCCCUUAAUGCCCUCACUGCCAUCGAACAGCACGAGCGCAUCAACAGGGGCCGCAGCUGGUGGCAACAGAGGACCGCCGACGAGAGGUUGGCGAAAGUCGCGAGGGGCUUGCGUGGCUUGAGCUUGAGGAGGCGAGGACGGCCCAGCAGUUGGCGUUUGUGGCUGCAUGGAAUCUGCAGCGUGUGGGCCAGAGCAAGGCCCAACAUUGCUGCAGUUCCACCGCCAGGCACCGUGGACAUGAGCUUCACUGUCGUUGUCGUCCACGUCAUGGUCGAGGGGGAUGGUGAGGUCCUCAAAAACGGCCCAAGUCUUGACGACACGGAGCUUGACGUCAACGAUUUGGGCUGGCGGAAGGCGAAGGAUGCACCCAUCCGGGGUGACAUGGUCACUCUCAACGCGGAGAAAGGUGCGCAUUGCCGUGAAGUCGCCGGCGUUGAGGCAGCGGUUGUCAACACAGCAGAGCACCCCAAAGUGGUCGAACACGAAGUUGGCGCCUUGGGGGUGCCACAGCUCGAGCGGGUAGUUCUUGGCCUCGAUCUCCACCAAGUGGUCGUAGCGCGUGGUGGCCCGAUUGUCGGUCUCCUCCGGACGGAGGAGAGUGAUGGUGACGCCGGCGAACUUGGCGGUGAAGUGAUCAUGGUCAUCUCACGGUCCUCGUGGGAGUCGGAGACGAGAAGGGCCGCACACCCCGUCGUGGACGCGAAGUAGAAGGAUGUAACGCCGGCGUAGAGCUCGACGGCGUGGUGAAUGAGGUCGUACGGCUCCGCCAUGACGUGGUCAAGGUGGGCGAAGCAGAAAUGCCCAACGUCGUGGAGGAGGCCGGAGGGGAUGAAGAUGUCCGGAUACGUAGAGUGCGCGCGGCCAGGAGAGGAGGCCGAGGACGAAGCAGAUGAUGGCGGGCGGACUGGCCCGCGGAUGCCGGAGGCCGCAUCCGGCACCGUGCCAUCCCUGCCAGCGGCAAAGACGUAGCUGGGGCGCGGGGAUCCACGCUGGGACGGGGGAGCGGAGUCAUCGUCCGACGAGGCAGAGCGAGGCGAACGCGGCGAGGUGGUGAGGGGUUGUAGCAGGGUGAGGCGGUGGGAGCCGAUGACGAGGAUGUUUGGGUUGUCGUCAGCCAUGGGAGGGUUUCGGUGGAGGAGACGAAGGCGUUGGAGGGCUAGGGAAGGUUGGAGGUGCACUGGUAGCUGCGAUGGCCAGAACCACCACAACGAGAGCAGCGGAUGGGAUCAUGACAAGCUUGGACUAGGUGGUCUAGAGCAAGGCAACGAAAACACAGAGGUCUAGAGCGGAUGCGGGGGGAGUGGUGAGGUGAGGUCGCUGAUAAAGGGGCGGGGGAGCGGAGGGCGCGGCGGGCGAGCGGGGGCUGGGAGCGGGGUGCCGCUGCAUUUUUGGGGGAGAGAGCAGCACGUUGCGGCAGGAGGGAGCAGGAACAGGCGCCGCGGCGAUGGGACUUGACUCGGGGAGCGUGGAUGAGGGCGAAGAGGUGAGCGGCGAGCUCUCGAGUGGGUUUGGGGUAGGGCUUUCAUAGGGUGGGCAGAGAGCAGUGCAGCGGUUCACGGCGUUUUGCUUAUGGACAGGGGUCGUAGUGAGGGGGAGCUCACAGGCUGGGUCUACGCGGGAGGGAGAGGUAGUUAGGUUUGCCAUUAAUGCUGGCAGAGGAGGAGGACGGGGAGGUACGUCGCAUGCUUGCAUGCCGGGUACGGAGGGGGUCGCGAGCGAAGCAGGAGGCGGGGGGCAUUGGGAGGCGGGAACGGGAUUGGACCGGGCAUGGCAGCGCCGCGCGCGUCAGCACGCGUGCAUGCCUUGGCUAUCUGCUACGUGCAAGAAAACAAUUGGACUAGGCUAGUAACGGGAGGAAGGGGAAGGACAGAGUGUGGUGUACCCAGAAUGGAGGGAGGGGUAGUGGUACCGGUUGUUUCCUUGGCAGCCAAGUCUGGGGUACGCAGAGGUUCAAAAUUUGAAUUCACAUAAGCUUUUGCCGCCUGGAGGGAGCAGCUGAGGGCUAGGGUAAUGCCAGGGCAAGAAACCGGAGACUUAUUGACGAGCUCGUUUCUGACCUCAUCCGACGACACUAGAGUAAGGAAGAAACACUCUUGGUAAUGCAUAACAAUAAAGCUAGAACGCCCAGCGAAAAAGUGGUCGAGGGCAAGUUUAACCAAAAACGCACUCGGUUUUGCUACUGCUGAAAAGAAGCUUAUCCAAAGCAAGGUGUGUGUUUUGGGAUCAGGAGUGGUGGUAGGUAGUGGAACUAGAUCAACUUUGAACUUGCGCAGGAUAAAAGAACGAAACUUGAACCCAUGCCGUAAUGGACUAACCUGAACUGGUGACCGAGGCAAGCUUGUCAAAGAUCCAGGCUGAGGAAGAGUGCGCCUCUCAGGCUUGGAAGGGGCCGCCGCCGGAGCGCCCCUCCUGGAUGGCAAUGUAGGGAUGGAGAAACGAACGUCCAUCCCAGGUCGCCGGAGCGCACCAAAGGAGAUGACGAGGUCGGCGACACCCCGAUUUGCCACCAAGAAGGAAAACUCGUCUUCCGCUUCCUCAGCAGCGUGGAACUACGAAGGGACUCUGCCGAACAGGCAGGCGAGGAUGAGGUUGCACAGUUGCUGCGAAACCGCGAAGGGGAACUGGAGGAAAGUAACCCGCAAGCGGCAAGCCGGCGGGGCCGGCGCAGAAGGAACUGUGACGAAAGACUUGAACCUGAACCAGGCAGCAUUUUCGAAUUUUGUGGUCGUGGCGUGAUGCAGCAGGAGGACAUCCGUCAAGGGUUUGCAAGAGGAGACAACCUGAGCCGAGGGAGAGGGCUCAGAUGGCAAGAACGGGCUGAAGGAGAGCGAGAACAGUCUCCGAUGGAUGGGAGGACGAAGGCCAAGAAUAUCAGUAACCAAAGUCGCAUGCGAGACAGAGAAGAGGAAGGUUUGAGAGUGUAGAAGACGGACAUUGAAGGAGUCAGCUAAUCCGCCAAUGAAGAAUUGCAGAAGAGCGCUGGCCAGCAGCUCGUCGAACCAGAGCUUGGUCGAGGAGACAGUAAGGCAGAGCAGGUGCUCCGACGAGCCAGAAGCGAAGCAUGGCUCGGGGAGCUGGAGCUUGUCCGCUUCGCUGAGACCAAGGAAAAGACGCAGGGAGUCCUGAGCGAGAAGGACAUAUCGAGGGCAGGGGAGAGGAUCAGCUACGCCCGCGAGGAGAGCGCCGAGCGGCCGAGGAGUGGCCGGCAGCGAAGGCGAGGCGGAGGAGGGGAACGGGAGCGGGAGCGAGGAGAGAACCCAACACCGCAAGAUGGUUCAUAUGCGAGACGAAGUCGACAAAAUGACCACCGUCAAGAAUCACCGAAGGGAAACAACAUUGGAUUGUUUUUAUUUCAAGCUGACUACACACGGAAUGCACUAAUAGAUCAGUAGCCAGCAAACAUACAACAACAAAGUGGCCGGCCAGAGCAACACCGAGCGAACGAAGCCAAGGAGAAACGCAACUAUACCAAUAGUACGUAGGGGAUUGAGGGUCUUGCAUGGAGAAGCCGUUUAGGGGACAGGCGGUGCACGAAAAUCCUACACCUAGGAAGUAAACUUACAUAAAUUGUCUUAUGUGAACACGUGUCNNNNNNNNNNNNNNNNNNNNNNNNNNNNNNNNNNNNNNNNNNNNNNNNNNNNNNNNNNNNNNNNNNNNNNNNNNNNNNNNNNNNNNNNNNNNNNNNNNNNNNNNNNNNNNNNNNNNNNNNNNNNNNNNNNNNNNNNNNNNNNNNNNNNNNNNNNNNNNNNNNNNNNNNNNNNNNNNCUAAUCUCAUACGUAAGUUUUCGUAAAUGUAGUAAAGCUCGGCAGUGUAGUCCAUUGUGUAGCAUGGAAUCCAGUAGCAAGCGGACAGGAGAAGUAGCACAGGAAGACAACGCUUUGAGGUGGCAGCUAUCAGCUGUCAGUGACCAAUCUGGGCAGCUGUCAGCGACCUCCUCACUGUGCGACCCAGUGGUAAACCAAUGCCUAGCCCAGCACCAGAUUGCGGCGCUUCAGAAACACUUGUAAAGUUUACUCUAAUUGUAUGAAAAAACCGUCCAUAACAUAAAAUUAAAAGGUUCAAAUCCUAGACAAUUCUGUUCAAUCAAAGAGGAUAUGCAUGUGCUAUCUUAAACAGAAGAGAUAAAAAGAAGGAUGGCUGAAUGCUACGUCUUGAGCUUGCGUUGGUUUUUCCCGAAGAGGAAGGGAUGAUGCAGCAGAGUAGCGUAAGUAUUUCCCUCAGUUUUUGAGAACCAAUGUAUCAAUCCAGUAGGAGCCCACACUCAAGUCCCUCGUACCUGCACAAAGCGAUAGUUACUCGCAACCAACGCGAUUAGGGGUUGUCAAUCCCUUCUCGGUCACUUACGAGAGUGAGAUCUGAUAGAUAUAAUAUUUUUGGUAUUUUUGGUAUAAAGAUGCAAAGUAAAAAGUAAAAAAGCAAAGCAAGAUUAAAGUGAUGGAGACUGAUAUGAUGAGAAUAGACCCGGGGGCCAUAGGUUUCACUAGUGGCUUCUCUCAAGAGCAUAAGUAUUCUACGGUGGGUGAACAAAUUACUGUUGAGCAAUUGACAGAAUUGAUCAUAGUUAUGAGAAUAUCUAGGCAUGAUCAUGUAUAUAGGCAUCACGUCUGUGACAAGUAGAUCGAAACGAUUCUGCAUCUACUACUAUUACUCCACUCAUCGACCGCUAUCCAGUAUGCAUCUAGAGUAUUAAGUUAAAAACAGAGUAACGCCUUAAGCAAGAUGACAUGAUGUAGAGAGAUAAAUUCAUGCAAUAUGAAAUAAACCCCAUCUUGUUAUCCUCGAUGGCAACGAUACAAUACGCGCCUUGCUGCCCCUUCUGUCACUGGGUAAGGACACCGCAAGAUCGAACCCAAAGCUAAAAACUUCUCCCAUGGCAAGAACUACCAAUCUAGUUAGCCAAACCAAACAGAUAAUUCGAAGAGACUUGCAAAGAUAACCAAUCAUACAUAAAAGAAUUCAGAGAAGAUUCAAAUAUUAUCCAUAGAUAGACUUGAUCAUAAACCCACAAUUCAUCGUUCUCAACAAACACACCGCAAAAAGAAGAUUACAUUGAAUAGAUCUCCACAAGAGAGGGGGAGAAAUUUGUAUUGAGAUUCAAAGAGAGAGAAGAAGCCAUCUAGCUAUUAACUAUGGACCCGAAGGUCUGAGGUAAACUACUCACACUUCAUCGGAGAGGCUAUGAUGAUGUAGAAGCCCUCCGUGAUGACGGCCCUCUUCCGGCAGAGCUCCGGAACAGGCCCCAAGAUGGGAUCUCGUGGAUACAGAAAGUUGCGGCGGUGGAAUUAGGUUUUUGGCUCCUGUUCUGAUCGUUUGGGGGUACGGUGUAUAUAUAGGAGGAAGAAAUACGCCGGAGGAGCAACGAGGGGCCCACGAGGCAGGAGGGCGCGCCCUAGGGGGCGCCCCCCAUCCUCGUGACCGCCUCUUUUGUUCCUUGGAGCAGGGUCCAAGUCUCCUGGAUCAUGUUCGGUGAGAAAAUCACGUUCCUGAAAGUUUUAUUCCGUUUGGACUCCGUUUGAUAUUCCGUUUCUUCGAAACACUGAAAUAGGCAAAAAAACAGCAAUUCUGGGCUGGGCCUCCGGUUAAUAGGUUAGUGCCAAAAAUAAUAUAAAAAUGGAAAAUAAAGCCCAAUAUAGUCCAAAACAGUAGAUAAUAUAGCAUGAAGCAAUCAAAAAUUAUAGAUACGUUGAAGACGUAUCACUGAACAAUGCAAAAAAUGUAAAUUUUGUACAUGUUGCACACUUAGAACAUAAGUAAGACACCCGUAAAAGGCAUGAGCGCAUCAUGCAUCCCAUAUUUCUUAGUUACAUUGUGCGCAGAUUGCACAUAAGUACUCCAGAGUUCUAUAAGCCAUCUUAUUUCCAAACUUUUCUAAACGUCAUGUAUAAAAGAUAUAGUAAAUUGUUGACAAAAGCACAAAGUAAUGGCGAAAGUCUACUUCUGCUCCCAAGCUCAAAUGAGCUUGGUCAACAGUAAAAUAAAAAACGAAAAAAUCAAAAAAAUCUGACAUUAUUUUAUGACAAACAUAGAAAGAAGUUUUAAGUGCUUGCAAAAAAUCAUUAUGGAAUCACAUUCCUGUAAGGCGUGGCAAAAAAUCAAAUUCAGUGCUCUAAAAUGUAGCUGGCCAAACGGUCCGGGCCAAUCAGGCCAGGCCACGAGCACGCCGGCACUGCCCGCCAUGGGCCAGGCACGGCACGGGCUAAACGGGCCGUGCCCGGCACGCGGCACGCCUUGGGCCUAGAGGCUGGGCAGCGGGCCCGGACGGCACGGCCAGUUUAUUAUUUUUUUUAUUUUUCCAGAUUUCUUUAUAUAUAUAUAUAUGACCUAAAUUAAAGCCCAAUAGGCCUAAAAUACAGCCUAAUAGGCUGAAAAACAUGCGGCCCAGUGUGCUAAAUGUGCCAUGGGCCGGCCCGUUCAAUAACCAGGCCAUGUCUGGGCCAAGGAGUGGCGCACGUGGGCCGGCACAGCACGACCCGGCUAUUAAAAAUGCCACGGCGGGCCGUGCCGUGCCGGGCCGGCUCGUUUGGCGAGAUCUGCUCCAAAAUGCUUUUGGAAGUAGAAUUUUUAGAGUACCAAUUACUUUUUUGCCACACCUUCUAGGAAUGUGAUUCCACGAUGAAUUUUUGCAAGCACUUAAAACUUUUGUCAAUGUCUGUCACAAAAACAUUUCAGAUUUUUUUGAAUUUCUUUCGAUUUUUUUUAUUUUACUGUUAGCCCAAGCUCAUUUGAGCUUGGGCUAAAAAAGUCUGCGUCUGGCUAACCUUCCAUACAUUCACGAAAGCGCGGAACUAAAUCAGUAUGGUCCAAGCUAUCUUCUUUACAGUACCACCAAGCAAAGAUCACAUCGCAAAGAACAUAAAUCUUAGUAUGUAUCGCCAGAAGAAUUCAACAAUCCGAUUUUCUUCCUCACUUGCCCACAAUAGUGAGUCUCCCAUGCGAUUUGUCUACAGUGUGGGCUGUGGCACACCAGCAAUUUUUGUUUUCAGUCAUCACUCAACAAUAAUCUUUCUUGCAUCAUCUGCUCCAUAUCUCUUACUAAUCUGUUGUCAUCAGUAUUGGAUGUCAAGACAGCUACGCCCCUGAUUUCAUUUUGUUUUCAUCAAAUAUCGUCCUCUUCAUGUCUCUCGUUAACAUUUUUCUUUCUCUACAUUUUCAGCCACAUACGCAGGCCUCUCAAAAGCGUGCUCGUCUGAACUACUGAUUACUCUUGAUCGUAAGGAAUUCUAACUCAAAAUAUGAUCUUAGUAUCUACGUAUUGGGUAGAGUAACUUAGAUAAAAAAAUUGGAUUAUGUGUAUCCUUGCAAUAUGUAUCUUGUUCCUAUAUAUGAUAUGUAUAUCCAGUAGGGAUCUACCACAUGCUCCCUCCCAUCCCAUGAACGGGUUGUUAACAAUGAGUAUAUUCAUAACGAUGAUUAGAAUCACCGUAUAUAAGUAGAAUAUAAGACCAUAGCCCUAGUAGAGCUAUAGUACGACUAUACGACCACCAUCACCAGUCGUGGUCAUCGCAGCAGUAGACGUCGUAUUCUCCAGCGCCGCCAGCGGGUGGGCGAUCUCUCCACCAACUGCUAUGUACUCUCCACUGUAUGUCUUGCAUGCAAGCGAGCGUACAUGUUAUAAGUACAUGCAUGUUAAGUUAAUCAUGUGGAUACAUGCACUGUUGGCGCCGCCUCCUCGCAGCGCCGCUCUUCUUCUUUCUCUCGUUGCCUCACACAACUCUCUUGUGGUUUCUCUCUAUCUUUUUUUCUUAAGAACACAAGAACACACUCACAUCGAAGAAACUCAAACACACACGCACACACCAAGGAAGAAAUCCAACCAGCUUUGCCAAGAGGCCUUUCUCCUCGGUCACCCGAGGGGCUACAUCUUUUCUCUAGCCCUCACAGCCUCUCUUUUCAUUAACUCAAAGCAGUACAUAUAUACACAAGGACCCAUGCACUCACGCCACACCGGCCACGUCCUGGAGUCACUCCAUGAUGCGGAUGGCCCGGCCAACCGGCCACUACUCACUAGCACACGCACUAAGCUAACCAGCCACUACUCAUUAGCACACGCACUAAGCUAACCAACUACUUGCAUGCACCUAUUCUCUUUCCCUGAAUUGCUCCAACGUCCCAAGACUAGGCCUACAACUAACAUGCAGCUAACCACCUACGCAUGCAUCAGCUACUUGAUCAGCACCACGGCCCGUCACACUUCAGCCUUGGUUGUGCCUUGCCGCUUCUCACGGCGUCGCCGUAUCGCACGGUACCAUCGGCAUCUCGCCGUGCUCGCCGCAUCUCACGGUAGUCUGGCAUCUCGCCUUCUCCACAUAUCUUUUUUGAAGCUUGGCCGGACUCGCUACUCGCUAGACAUCUAAGUUACAUGUAGGACUCAAAACAAAUAUGCAGAUACAUAAUCAAGAUUAAAAAGCCUAACAUGCACCUCAGAAUUCACGCAUGUGUAUUCUAACUAAUUCAUUAUUCAUAACUAAUAAUCAAUUAUUUUUCUGAUGUGAAUGUAGCCUCUGACUAUCUGUCAUCAUUCUCACAGGUUGUCACAAGUGGACUGGAACAAACGCCAUGUUGAAGAAUAAUCAAGGAUCUGCGAUUGACUUCUACUUGACCUGCUACUUGGCGUUUGAUAAUAAUAAAAACUCCAAUAGAACUUUAAAAUAACUAUUCGUCUUGGACUCCGAGUGUCACUUUAUCAGUAUUGCUUAUUGUUGUUGUAUUGGCGUGGGUUAUGACUUUAAAUGUGCCACUCUCAGUGUUAUGCAGUCUGAUAAAAAUUGUAUUGAUAUGGUUUACAUAGUAGAAAUAAAACCAUUUAUAUUGUUUGCGUAGUACAAAUAAAUCAUGUCUCAAUGCAUGUAUGAAACCCGAUACUUAUUAUCAGUUUCUUAUCCGAGUCUAAUCCAA